This 424-nucleotide ribosomal RNA is filed under the name uncultured archaeon. RNAcentral's name for it is "partial 16S ribosomal RNA". It matches the Rfam family "Archaeal small subunit ribosomal RNA", at positions 323 to 746 of the family's 1478-position model. The record is from RNAcentral.
CUACGGGUGGCAGCAGUUAGGGAACUUUUACAAUGCACGCAAGUGUGAUAAAGCGAGUCAGAGUGUUUCUCUUAUUUGAGAAACUUUUUUCUGUUGUAAAAAGACAGACGAAUAAGGACUGGGUAAGACCGGUGCCAGCCGCCGCGGUAAUACCGGCGGUCCAAGUCGCAGCCACAAUUAUUGGGUCUAAAACAUCCGUAGCUUGUUUAGUAAGUUUUUUGUGAAAUCUUAUCUCUUAAGGGUAAGGCGUGCAGAAAGUACUGCUAAACUAGAGACUGGAAGAAGUAAGAAGUACAAUUGAGGUAGUGGUAAAAUACGUUAAUCUUAAUUGGACUAACAAUUAGCGAAGGCAUCUUACUAGUACAGAUCUGACAGUGAGGGAUGAAGGCUAGGGUCGCAAAACGGAUUAGAUACCCCGGUAGUC